GAAAUGCGAUAAGUAGUGUGAAUUGCAGAAUUCAGUGAAUCAUCGAAUCUUUGAACGCACAUUGCGCCCUUUGGUAUUCCUUAGGGCAUGCCUGUUCGAGCGUCAUCUAAACCUUCAAGCCCUGCUUGGUGUUGGGUGCCUGUCCCGCCUCCGCGCGCGGACUCACCUCAAGUCCAUUGGCGGCCCCCGCGUCGGCCACGAGCGCAGCAGAAACGCGAACUCGUGAGCCCGUCCGGGCGGCUCCCAGAAGCUACACCCACCCAGUUUGACCUCGGAUCAGGUAGGGAUACCCGCUGAACUUAAGC
RNAcentral lists this unclassified non-coding RNA (305 nucleotides) under plant metagenome. RNAcentral's name for it is "partial contains 5.8S ribosomal RNA, internal transcribed spacer 2, and large subunit ribosomal RNA". The stretch from base 1 to 105 matches the Rfam family "5.8S ribosomal RNA", at positions 50 to 154 of the family's 154-position model. The record is from RNAcentral.